Eubalaena glacialis (North Atlantic right whale) is the source of this 485-nucleotide long non-coding RNA. RefSeq lists it as uncharacterized. NCBI's taxonomy places the organism in Eukaryota, Metazoa, Chordata, Mammalia, Artiodactyla, Balaenidae. The record is from RefSeq and is a predicted model, not a curated record. The transcript has 3 exons.
GCAAGGGGCUCCCGCCAGAACCCCAGCGAGGGGCUCCCGCCAGAACCCCGGACAGGGCCUCACAGACCUGCCCCGCGACCUCACCUUCUCCGCCGACCUUGCGGGUCCUGCCUUCCACGCGGUGGGGCCGAAGGAGCGCAAAGGCCUCCGCAGGACCCCCGGAGGACUCUUCUCUUUGAUCCAGCACUACAAACCCUGAGAAGCUGGACGGUUCCGGUCCCUGCUUGCUAGUUUGGACCUGUUGCCACAUGGAGAACACAUGAGCUUGAAUAUGAAAUUGAUCUUCUUCAGCGUGUGAAGAGGGAAAACAACGAAAGAAAAAUGGAAGCACGAGUUAAUCAGAAUUACGUGAACAUGCAGCAAUUGAGAUGCAAAGGAGUUAAAUGACUUGACCAAAAUAUCAAGCUAGUGAGUGGCAGAGCCAGGAAUCAGGUCUUCAGAACAUAAGAUUGAUGAACUUUCCAUAAUACCAUUUUAUAACUAAU